CCGCGUGCCUUUAGAUUCUUUAAAACUUCGAUUUUCCCAGUUAAAUAGUAGGUAAACUAUGCCACUCUCCAUGUCUUUAACUAUACACAUGCCAAUAAUCACGUCAAUCUGUAGCUCCGUUACGACGUGAUUGAAAGACAAACCAAUAACCCAACAAACAAACACAUUUUGCAUUUAUAAUAUGGGUCCUGAUUGAUGUAAA
Maniola jurtina (meadow brown) is the source of this 202-nucleotide long non-coding RNA. RefSeq lists it as uncharacterized. Lineage: Eukaryota; Metazoa; Arthropoda; Insecta; Lepidoptera; Nymphalidae. The transcript has 3 exons. The record is from RefSeq and is a predicted model, not a curated record.